GUAGUUUGACCGUGGCUCAGAUUGAACGCUGGCGGAAUGCUUUACACAUGCAAGUCGAACGGCAGCACGGGGCAACCCUGUGGCGAGUGGCGAACGGUGAGUAAUACAUCGGAACGUGCCCAGUCGUCGGGGGAUAACUUACGCGAAAAGCGUAAGCUAAUACCGCAUACGAUCUACGGAUGAAAGCGGGGGACCGUAAGGCCUCGCGCGAAUUGGAGCGGCCGAUGGCAGGAUUAGGGUAGUUGGUGGGGUAAAGCCUACCAAGCCUGCGAUCUGUAGCUGGUCUGAGAGGACGACCAGCCACACUGGGACUGAGACACGGCCCAGACUCCUACGGGAGGCAGCAGUGGGGAAUAUUGGACAAUGGGGGCAACCCUGAUCCAGCAAUGCCGCGUGUGUGAAGAAGGCCUUGCGGGUUGUAAAGCCACUUUUUAGUGGGGACGAAAAC
This 448-nucleotide ribosomal RNA is filed under the name uncultured beta proteobacterium. RNAcentral describes it as "bacterial SSU rRNA". It matches the Rfam family "Bacterial small subunit ribosomal RNA", at positions 9 to 452 of the family's 1533-position model. Lineage: Bacteria; Pseudomonadati; Pseudomonadota; Betaproteobacteria. The record is from RNAcentral.